RNAcentral lists this long non-coding RNA (1233 nucleotides) under Homo sapiens (human). RNAcentral's name for it is "non-protein coding NUTM2B-AS1:24". Lineage: Eukaryota; Metazoa; Chordata; Mammalia; Primates; Hominidae. The record is from RNAcentral.
CCCGGGCCCUCUUUCCUCUUACCCUCGUUUCUCACCUUUCACCCUGUCCCUCGGCCCGCUUUUCCCCUCCCCGCUCUGUCCUGUCGUUUUCUUAACACUCUUCACACGCGCACUUCCUCCUCCUCCUCUUCUCUUUUUCCCACCCCUACCUUUGGGCCCUCCUUCCUUAACCUCCGCUGGCCCCCCAUUCCAUGAUCCGUCCACCUGACACGCUGGGUUUCAUGCCUCUCUUUCCCAGGCUGUGGGUUGUGCCCUUCACUCCUUGCCCUCCUCCAUUCCCUGUCCUGAUCUGAACUCCUCUCCUUGCCACGCUCCCUCACCCUUAUCCCUCUGCACACUCCAAAAUUUUUAAAGAAAAAGGAGAGAGAGAAAAAAAAGUAAAAGAAAAGAAACCCAAAAGGGAAAAUAUAGCUAAGGUGAACUGCAAAACCAUAUUCCUGCUGCUGUCAGUUAUGAUGCACUGAGAAAACUUCAGAGACCUAAACUUUUUCCAGAGAAGAGAAGCUUUACUGGUGUUCCAGCCCUAAGAAACCUUUGUUCAAGAAAACGGCAGAUGCUCUGUUGAAUCCACUGGAGAUUGUUCUGAUACUAAGGACAAGUAUCAACCAUCUUUCCUGUGAAAAAUUCCCUCUCGUACUUUAGUUCUGUGGAUCCAAAAUUUAUAGCAUUCUUCUACCACCACAGGGGCUCAUAUGACAUUAACAGACAAGACACUUUUCAGAAAGACAGGCAACGUGUUGGACCUUCCGGAGCUUCUCAGAAGACAGAGGGUUUUCUUUUGAGGAUUUAAACCUCAGACACAGGGAGCUGACCUAUUCACCUUAGAAUCCUCUGGGGCACCCAUUACAGUGUCUGUACCAAGGAGGCAACAAAGAACGGCGGAACAGACUGGAGCAGAAGGACCACCCAGCAGAGCCAAGCCAAAUCACUGACCCUCAGAGGCCUGAUGUGAAUGCUUAUGGCUUCAGUCCAUUGGAUUCUGCAGUAAUCUGCCGAUCUACAGUAUUACCACAGUAAAUAACCGAUAGACCUGAAAACGAAUGCAUGCCUUGUGCCAAAAUUGCAGGAAACCUCACCAGGAGAAACAAUUUUAUAUGAGGGAAUGUACUCUCUCCUUUGCAUUUUCCCUCAAAUCUAUAUUUUUAGCCCCUCACUUGUCUCUACAGAGCCUCAGUUGCUUAAUCUAAUUGCUGACUGAACAUCUCCAGGAAACUGUGUGUACGUGUUUGUAUU